CAUAGAGGAACAGACAGUUUUAGCCUUAGGGGAUUAGAAGUGCUAACAUCAGAAUGACUUAAAGCUUGUCAUCAGUAUCUCUGCUCUGGGUAACAGUGGAACUGGCUCAGAGCUGGCCACUUUGAGUGACUGCUGGACUUUAAAGCCAAAGGGGACUUGAGAACUGUGAGAAGGAUAAUUCCCAGGAAUAGAUAACAUCUACCACGAUGAUGGGAACGAGAAUUUACAGAGUUCCCUGGAAUUUGCACAGUUGAUACAUCUGAGUCUUUUUCUUCUGGAGAUGACUGGCCUAUAGCUUUCACACAGAGAUCCCUAAGUGCAGAAAAUCUGAGGACCCACCCUGCUCAGCAGCUACCCAUCAACGUGUGUCCUGAUGCAGGAGCUUCAGGUUACAGUCUCUCUGGGUCGCCAGAGCAAAUGGCCUACUUGAAGCACAUGAGUCACUGGGAGGCACAGUUGCUCAACAGCCAGUUACUGAUGCAAUGACACAUAUGGACCUCAAAGCCAAAGACUAUCUUCUUUCUCGUCAUUUCUACAGCUUUGGAAGUAGCAUUUCCCCCAGGCAUAGCCACCCUAAUAAAAUUAUACACAGAAG
This 595-nucleotide long non-coding RNA is filed under the name Cricetulus griseus (Chinese hamster). RNAcentral describes it as "lncRNA (ENSCGRG00015036351.1)". Lineage: Eukaryota; Metazoa; Chordata; Mammalia; Rodentia; Cricetidae. The record is from RNAcentral.